AUGUAGCUGACGAGUCCCAAAUAGAAUGAAGCACGCGUCAAACUGAAU
Molecule: non-coding RNA, 48 nt
Filed under: Schistosoma mattheei
Lineage: Eukaryota; Metazoa; Platyhelminthes; Trematoda; Strigeidida; Schistosomatidae
Source: RNAcentral